GACGAACGCUGGCGGCGUGCUUAGCACAUGCAAGUCGAACGGAAAGGCCCUGCUUUUGUGGGGUGCUCGAGUGGCGAACGGGUGAGUAACACGUGAGUAACCUGCCCUUGACUUUGGGAUAACUUCAGGAAACUGGGGCUAAUACCGGAUAGGAGCUCUUGCUGCAUGGUGGGGGUUGGAAAGUUUCGGCGGUUGGGGAUGGACUCGCGGCUUAUCAGCUUGUUGGUGGGGUAGUGGCUUACCAAGGCUUUGACGGGUAGCCGGCCUGAGAGGGUGACCGGCCACAUUAGGACUGAGAUACGGCCCAGACUCCUACGGGAGGCAGCAGUGGAGAAUAUUACACAAUGGGCGGAAGCCUGAUGCGACAACGCCGCGUGCGGGAUGACGGCCUUCGGGUUGUAAACCGCUUUCGCCUGUGACGAAGCGUGAGUGACGGUAAUGGGUAAAGAAGCACCGGCUAACUACGUG
Molecule: ribosomal RNA, 468 nt
Filed under: uncultured bacterium
Lineage: Bacteria
Description: partial 16S ribosomal RNA
Rfam family: Bacterial small subunit ribosomal RNA
Source: RNAcentral